CCACUCGUGAGGUUGUUCAGGGUUCAUUUUCCCAUAUUGUAGAUUAGAAAUCACAGAUGAUAAUUUCCUAAGGUUACGACCAGGAGGCAGAUGGCAGUUAGAGUUUCACUUAGGUGAGUGUGGCUUGUUGCGUAUAGAAUUAGGAGGCCUUAAUUCCUCCUCCCUAAGCUUUAUUGUGGCUGUUACUUCUCUCUGUCUUUAGUUUGAAGAUUUUGGACUUGUUAGCUGCCAUGAUCAUGUGAGCCAAUCCUUAAACCAAAUCAGUCUCUCUCUCUCUAUAUAUACACACAUAUACAUAUAUAUAUGUAUACACACAAAUACUACAAAUACAGGCUGUGAUUGGAAAAAUUAAUUCUGAACAACCACAUGAGUGGUGCAUACGUAUAUCUAUUGCUAUCUAUCUAUCUAUGUAUCUCUGUACCCAUCCAUCCAUCCAUCCAUCCAUCCAUCCAUCACACAUCCUAUUGGUUCUGUUUCUCUGGAGAACCCUGGCUAAUAAACCCACUUUGAGUGAGGGCAGCAUCAUCUGUUGGCACAGGCAAGGCUCCCACCCAGCUGAGCUCCUUGGUCCCUCUGUAAGCUGGUUGUUUUUCUGGUGUCCUCCUUUUUUGGGGCAAAUGAAGAGGCAACAUCAUCCCUGCAUGCACUGCUUCCUGGAGAGUUUCUAUCUCGGAGAAAGAAUGAGUGUGCACGGAUACAGAUUGUCACUGGGCUAAGGGACGCCCAGAUAGCUGGUAACACGUGAUUUCUGGGUCUGCCUGUGAGGGUGCUUCUGGAGAGAUGAGCAUGUGUUUCAGGAGACGGAGUAGAGAGACCUGCCUUCACCACUGUGGGUGGGCAUCGCCAGAUCCAAUGGGGGCCCGAAUGGAACAAGUAGGUGAAGAAAGUUCCAAUUCCUCUUUCUCUUCUUGAACUAGGACGUCCAUCUUUUCCUGCUCUCAGACAUUGGGUCCCCCAGUUCUCAGGCCCUCAGUCUUGGACUGAAUCGUAGCACCAGCUCUCCUGUGUCUCCAGCUUGCAGACGGCAGAUUGCAGGACUUCUCGGCCUCCAUAACCGUAUGAGCCAAUCCCUAUUAUAAAUUCUCUCUUCUAUGUAUCCAUAUCUAUCCUAUAAACCUCCAGGUUUCUCUGGAGCCCCCUGGCUAAUACACAGAUGUUACUACCAACAGGAACAGAAUAGGUGGAAACGGGCAGAAUUUGGAGCCAAAGCACGUGGUGGAAGCUGCCUCAGGACUUCUGUGACCUCAGGUCCUCAGCACUUAUAAAGUUACAGGUGGGUGAUUUUGUAGACGGUUCUUCCACUUGGCUUCACCUGACGUUUCCUCAGGCCGUGCCUCGUUGUCAAGUCCACCGCAGAAGUGAUGGCAGGAGUGUGUCCUGUUGGGUGGCGCCUGAUCUCCGUAUGUCCUGUUAAGCUGGUGUCUGUUAGCUUCCCCACUGUUGGGUUUCUCCUUUCUUCUUUGUAAUUAAUAACUAUUUUGUGUGUAGAUGGACUCCGAAGUUAUGUAAAUAUCCCAUUCUUCAUCAUACUUUGAAUUUAUUCAUUCAGGAAUUUAAGUCCGUAGGGACCCAAGGCUUCCUAUUUCAUUCCAUGAGUUAUAAUCCAUUACUUUCAUUAUUUAUAUCAAUGCUCAAAUAGCCCCCGAUUUGGCCAGCAGAACCCUUCAGGCUGGCUUCCGGGUCCUUUCACGUGUGCGCAUCAUUGCUUGAGCAUUUCCUCACUUUCCCACCCCAAAGCGGGCCCCAAGUUCCUGUCGCACUUUCCAAUGCUGGAAUCAGCCAUUUCUCCCCGGAGAAAACUGCCUUUCUACUAGUGACAUCUACAUUCAUUCCUACGUCGAUCAUUCCUACGUCGACAUAUUGCAAACCAUAAGUUCACAGCGACACUUGCAACUCCGAUGAAUAACGCCGAGAUUACGCUCAUCUUCUCCUUUCCGUAUUUGUAACGUGCUCUAAUAUCGGUAAACCUGGCUCCCGUUACCCUCAAUAUCUUUGCUUAUUUGACCCAUCUGUCUCUUGUCCCUGCUGCUGUCCCCGACGUGGACGGGGAUGCCUCCUCACCCCGCAGGAGCUCCAACCUCCAAGGAGGAAGGAGGGAAAAAAGGAGGGAGAGGGAGGGAAUCUUCCCACCUUUCAGAGCAUCACAGUGUUGCCUUUUUAGAGUGUAUAAAGUCGAUGCAUGUGCGUGUUUGUGUGCUAAAAUUCUUACGGAGGAUGUAAAAUAUAAGUGAGAUGAAAGAAAAUGAUGUACGUUCAGGAAUAAAAGCGUUCUAGCAACUAACGCUCAAAUAAUUAUACCCCAAUUAUCCGCUGUGCGAAUCCCUGUAGAGGACUGGCAAGGGCCUCAGCCAAGGAUUAAAUGAACACAGAAGGCUGCCGCAGACGUCUCCCCGCCAGGCAGA
Equus caballus (horse) is the source of this 2402-nucleotide long non-coding RNA. NCBI's taxonomy places the organism in Eukaryota, Metazoa, Chordata, Mammalia, Perissodactyla, Equidae. The record is from Ensembl.